Molecule: long non-coding RNA, 260 nt
Filed under: Chinchilla lanigera (long-tailed chinchilla)
Lineage: Eukaryota; Metazoa; Chordata; Mammalia; Rodentia; Chinchillidae
Description: lncRNA (ENSCLAG00000029171.1)
Source: RNAcentral
CCACGUUCCAGCAGGAAUUUUCCUCCAAAACGCUUUAAAAUCGGACACUGAGACAUCCUAGCUGCGGUGGGAGAGGAAUAACCACUCCCCAGGGAAAUCCCAGGUCCAGAGAACCGUCCACGUGGAGCACAGAGAAGGUCACAGAUGUACGGGAUUUUUGUGGUCACUCCUUGGGCAGCCAAGGCUGAGGAUUCAGAAACAGCUGCGGCCAGAUGUAUGUGUCGAGGAGCAGGGCCUGAUCACCGUCCCAAGCACUCAGU